AGAGAAGAAAAAUGAAAUUUUUCAUUCGUGUAAGCUAAAAUUCUUACAGCGUUUUGUAAUGUUUCGGUAUAUUUUUGCAGGGGUCAUUCAAGUUUGGCGAAAAUCAAACGAUGAAAUGACGAGAUUUGGGACGAUGGUAGGGUACUUCAUUAAUUUCACGAUGCGGAAUUGAUGAUCAGAUCCGACCGGAGCGUUGUAUGCAGAAGAAGAUAAUUUUCGAUCAGCUGUUACAACGAAGCGGUUCAAUCUGUUUAAGCGUAUUCUUGUGGGACGUGUUUGCUCGAGGGCUAUCCAACAGAUCUUGUCUACAGCGAGAAGUUACGUAGAUACGAGAGAUGUGGGACGCGAUCGUUUGUUCACGAGAAAUAAAGAGAGUAUGGAUAGUGAUAGAAUUAUAUCAAUAAUAGUAAUUUUGCGAUAAUACACAGCAUAAGAUAAGGCUCGGAAAUCAUGGACCGCAGAUUUUCUCGUUUCUCUUCAUAGUGAUCAAUUUUUACAGUUAAUCAAUCAUAAAUUUCGGAAUAUUAUAAAAGCAGUAUUAUUACAUUAUCAUAAGCGAGAUACUGACUAUCUUCCUCAUUUUUCUACAUCCUACCUCCAAUUAUUGACUCGAUAUCGCGGCAGGAAUCGUAAGCCGUAAUAAAUUAGCCAGAACCGAAUUACUGCUGUCUGGCGAUCCAGAUGAGUUUUUGUGCACUGAACCUACGAUUCUGACUCUACUAUACUUGGAUUUCGCUUUCUAUAAAAAUGCGAAUCAUCCAAGAGUAAGAAAAGCGGAGUCAUCAACGAGUUUCGUAGCAUGAUGGACCAUAUAAGAGACACAUAAGAAUUUGGAAAUCACGUUUUGUUCGAUGUUUGAAAUUAUCAUUUUAAUUUUAUGGUAAGCAAGGAUAUAAUACGGCACAAGAUCAAGGUAGACUCCGCCUUGUUUAUUCUGCAAAUAUUUUUUAGCACUGUUUGCUCUGAUCUUCUUCAUUUAUAGCUUACCAUAUAACACGUAAUUGUUUUUAAUUCUCGAUGUCAUUUUCUGGGCCACUAAAGGUAUGG
Molecule: long non-coding RNA, 1047 nt
Organism: Athalia rosae (coleseed sawfly)
Lineage: Eukaryota; Metazoa; Arthropoda; Insecta; Hymenoptera; Athaliidae
Exons: 3
Source: RefSeq, a predicted model, not a curated record